Molecule: transfer RNA, 63 nt
Filed under: Symplanella nigricans
Lineage: Eukaryota; Metazoa; Arthropoda; Insecta; Hemiptera; Caliscelidae
Description: tRNA-Leu
Source: RNAcentral
GUUGAAUUGGCAGAAAAAGUGCUUUAAAUUUAGAAUUUAAUAAUGUAAUAUUUACAUUCAAUA